RNAcentral lists this long non-coding RNA (467 nucleotides) under Monodelphis domestica (gray short-tailed opossum). Its description in RNAcentral is "lncRNA (ENSMODG00000031988.2)". Lineage: Eukaryota; Metazoa; Chordata; Mammalia; Didelphimorphia; Didelphidae. The record is from RNAcentral.
AUAGUCACUUUAAGCUUUGCUACAAAGCUGGAAGCAAACAUUCUAAACGGAGAAUGUGAGUGUUUAAAGCCGAAUGAGAUGAAAACUCAAUGCAUGUUGGGACACAUGGGAAACAAACGCACGAGGACUCAUCCUGAGGGAUUUACAGUCUAAUAAGGGAGACAAGAUUUGUAUGGCAAACUUAUGGUACUCAUUCUGGAAGGGGCUGCUCCCUUUCUCCUCUCCAUGGAUUCCUGAGGACAUUUCUCCUAUUACUCAGCAUCCUGCCCAACAGUACAAUCAAAAGAAGACAAUUUUCAUUUACCUAAAUCUUUCAGAUUGCCGGAGGUGAAUUGAGGUUUGAAGUGGGGUUUAUUAAUAGAAGAGGUAUCUAUAAAGCCCCUUUGAACAGCAUUGGCAAGAGGACCCUAUUGCCAGCUGUGCUUUCCUCACUGCUGGAAAUAAAGGCUAGAGAGAAGAGUGGAGCA